UUCCGGNUGAUCCCGCCGGAGGUUACUGCUUUCGGUGUUCGACUAAGCCAUGCAAGUCAUAUGUUCCUCGUGAACAUGGCAUACUGCUCAGUAACACGUGGAUAACCUGCCCUUGGGUCUGGGAUAACCCCGGGAAACUGGGGAUAAUACCGGAUGACGCAUAUGUGCUGGAAUGCUUUAUGCGUAAAACGGAUUCGUCCGCCCAAGGAUGGGUCUGCGGCCUAUCAGGUAGUAGUGGGUGUAAUGUACCUACUACCCAACAACGGGUACGGGUUGUGAGAGCAAGAGCCCGGAGAUGGAUUCUGAGACAUGAAUCCAGGCCCUACGGGGCGCAGCAGGCGCAAAAACUUUACAAUGCGGGAAACCGUGAUAAGGGAACACCGAGUGCCAGCAUCAUAUGCUGGCUGUCCAGAUGUGUAAACUACAUCUGUUAGCAAGGGCCGGGCAAGACCGGUGCCAGCCGCCGCGGUAACACCGGCGGCCCGAGUGGUGACCGUUAUUAUUGGGUCUAAAGGGUCCGUAGCCGGUUUGGUCAGUC
Molecule: ribosomal RNA, 538 nt
Filed under: uncultured archaeon
Lineage: Archaea
Description: bacterial SSU rRNA
Rfam family: Archaeal small subunit ribosomal RNA
Source: RNAcentral